UCAAAGUUACCUAUUUUUUGGGUUAAAUUUGCUCACUGGAAAGUUUAUACAUGGGCAACCCAAAAUUAGGUAGAAAUUUGAACAUGGCGAUUACCCAUAAUUUGAGUUGGUCGCUGUGAACUUCGUGUUGGGUAGGAAUUGAAUAAUGACGUCUACUCAAAUUCAAGUUCAUCGCUUUGUACUUAUAUUUUGGGUAGUCCAUUUCAAACAAAGUAGUAGGUAAUGUUUUUGACAGCCAUUGUUAUUGUUGUGAAUCAAAUUGCAUGAAGUGGCUCUGGAAAAGAAUGCCUAGAAACUUAGGAUAAAGCAAUUAGCGCUGGAUCUAAAACAUGAGUCGAUGAUGAUCGAGUUGCACUUUUUGUUGCCAACGAACGGAAAACAAAUAAAUAAUUGAAGAAAUUUUUCUCCUCAAAAUAUUUGAUUAUUUCUGCUGCCUCUGCACUCCUUGCUGUCGUUCGAUUCCGUUCACGUGGCUUCAACGUGCUGCCUCGUGGAUCGGCAACUCGUUGGUAGCGAGCCGCGUGGCUUGUUUCGAUAUUCCACCUGUUGCUAUGGGUCUUGGUUGCGUUUAGAUGACCUCGCAUCUGCGUGGUGACUUCAGGAAACUAUUCAGUCAUGUCAAACUGAGGCUUCCAAUAGUCAACACCGGUGAAACAACGUCAUCUCGGUUAUUGACUUCAGAUACAUCGAGCAAUACGGAACAUUUGAACAAGACUGUAGCUUACCCGAGCUCCGAGCCACUACAAUUCCAUUUGACUUUAGUCAUACCGGCUGGAAUAUAAUAUAGAAUUCUGGCUGUCUAAGAGACAAGUAUUUUAAUUGUGCAUUCAUUUUUUUUUGUUUUUUGUUGAUGAUUAAUUCAUUUCAAAUAUAUUUGUAGCUGGGACUGUGGCCACAUUUGCAAUUAUGGUGCCACUGACAUAUGAGCAAGCGUAUGGGGGAUAGACCACUAGUGAAUAAUUGUUCUUAAACCUGAGGGGUAACCACCCAUAUUGAUGGUGGUUUUAAGUGUUUUGUUACCAGCCGCCAUCUUGGAUUUCAAAAUGACGCCAAUCAUCAAUUUUCACUUUCUACUAAUUA
Topomyia yanbarensis is the source of this 1080-nucleotide long non-coding RNA. RefSeq lists it as uncharacterized. The record is from RefSeq and is a predicted model, not a curated record. NCBI's taxonomy places the organism in Eukaryota, Metazoa, Arthropoda, Insecta, Diptera, Culicidae. The transcript is spliced from 5 exons.